Long non-coding RNA from Manacus vitellinus (golden-collared manakin), 186 nucleotides. RefSeq lists it as uncharacterized. The transcript has 3 exons. The record is from RefSeq and is a predicted model, not a curated record. Lineage: Eukaryota; Metazoa; Chordata; Aves; Passeriformes; Pipridae.
CCUGGGCGCCUGACUCCGCCCACCGCCAGGUGACGCUGCUCCCAGACCAGGACGAGGCCUGGUGGCAGGAGCCAAUCGUGGCCCGGGAGCUGUUUUGGCCCGAGGUGGGCGUGGCCGACCCGCAGGUGCUGCGGGAGCAGGUGGAGACCUGCCGAGAGCUGCUGGAACUGGAGCCCCGGAGCCGAG